UACGUAGGGCGCAAGCGUUAUCCGGAAUUAUUGGGCGUAAAGAGCUCGUAGGCGGUUUGUUGCGUCUGCCGUGAAAGUCCGGGGCUCAACUCCGGAUCUGCGGUGGGUACGGGCAGACUAGAGUGAUGUAGGGGAGACUGGAAUUCCUGGUGUAGCGGUGAAAUGCGCAGAUAUCAGGAGGAACACCGGUGGCGAAGGCGGGUCUCUGGGCCGUAACUGACGCUGAGGAGCGAAAGCAUGGGGAGCGAACAGG
This 253-nucleotide ribosomal RNA is filed under the name uncultured bacterium. RNAcentral describes it as "partial 16S ribosomal RNA". It matches the Rfam family "Bacterial small subunit ribosomal RNA", at positions 524 to 776 of the family's 1533-position model. The record is from RNAcentral.